This 496-nucleotide ribosomal RNA is filed under the name uncultured bacterium. RNAcentral's name for it is "partial 16S ribosomal RNA". It matches the Rfam family "Bacterial small subunit ribosomal RNA", at positions 29 to 507 of the family's 1533-position model. The record is from RNAcentral.
ACGAACGCUGGCGGCGUGCCUAAUACAUGCAAGUAGAACGCUGAAGAGAGGAGCUUGCUCUUCUUGGAUGAGUUGCGAACGGGUGAGUAACGCGUAGGUAACCUGCCUUGUAGCGGGGGAUAACUAUUGGAAACGAUAGCUAAUACCGCAUAACAAUGGAUGACACAUGUCAUUUAUUUGAAAGGGGCAAUUGCUCCACUACAAGAUGGACCUGCGUUGUAUUAGCUAGUAGGUGAGGUAAUGACUCACCUAGGCGACGAUACAUAGCCGACCUGAGAGGGUGAUCGGCCACACUGGGACUGAGACACGGCCCAGACUCCUACGGGAGGCAGCAGUAGGGAAUCUUCGGCAAUGGGGGCAACCCUGGCCGAGCAACGCCGCGUGAGUGAAGAAGGUUUUCGGAUCGUAAAGCUCUGUUGUAAGUCAAGAACGGGUGUGAGAGUGGAAAGUUCACACUGUGACGGUAGCUUACCAGAAAGGGACGGCUAACUACGUG